CACGUAGGAGGCGAGCGUUGUCCGGAAUCAUUGGGCGUAAAGAGCGCGCAGGCGGCUUGGCAAGUCGGGUGUGAAAUCCCGGGGCUCAACCCCGUGACUGCAUUCGAUACUGUCAGGCUAGAGGUAGGUAGGGGAGAUCGGAAUUCCAGGUGUAGCGGUGAAAUGCGUAGAUAUCUGGAGGAACACCGGUGGCGAAGGCGGCAUCCUGGACCGGCAUUGACGCUGAGGAGCGAAAGCCAGGGGAGCAAACGGG
RNAcentral lists this ribosomal RNA (253 nucleotides) under uncultured bacterium. RNAcentral's name for it is "partial 16S ribosomal RNA". It matches the Rfam family "Bacterial small subunit ribosomal RNA", at positions 524 to 776 of the family's 1533-position model. The record is from RNAcentral.